GGUUGUGUGGUGUAAUGGUAGCACGUAUCGUUGUGGACUUCAACUUUGUUUGGCCUCAACGGUCCCGAUACAAUCGCGGUUCGAUUCCGUGCACAGCCA
Tirmania nivea is the source of this 99-nucleotide non-coding RNA. Lineage: Eukaryota; Fungi; Ascomycota; Pezizomycetes; Pezizales; Pezizaceae. The record is from the annotation of a GenBank genome assembly.